UGGGGAAUAUUGGACAAUGGGGGCAACCCUGAUCCAGCCAUGCCGCGUGUGUGAAGAAGGCCUUUUGGUUGUAAAGCACUUUAAGCAGUGAAGAGGACUCCAUGGUUAAUACCCAUGGACGAUGACAUUAGCUGCAGAAUAAGCACCGGCUAACUCUGUGCCAGCAGCCGCGGUAAUACAGAGGGUGCAAGCGUUAAUCGGAAUUACUGGGCGUAAAGCGAGCGUAGGUGGCUUGAUAAGUCAGAUGUGAAAGCCCCGGGCUUAACCUGGGAACGGCAUCUGAUACUGUUAGGCUAGAGUAGGUGAGAGGAAGGUAGAAUUCCAGGUGUAGCGGUGAAAUGCGUAGAGAUCUGGAGGAAUACCGAUGGCGAAGGCAGCCUUCUGGCAUCAUACUGACACUGAGGUUCGAAAGCGUGGGUAGCAAACA
This 427-nucleotide ribosomal RNA is filed under the name uncultured bacterium. Its description in RNAcentral is "partial 16S ribosomal RNA". It matches the Rfam family "Bacterial small subunit ribosomal RNA", at positions 355 to 774 of the family's 1533-position model. The record is from RNAcentral.